UAAGAGUUUUAUUAUAGUUAUUUUUAAUUUUCUUUUUAAGUAAUAAUGAACUUUUCUAUUAUAUUUUCUGUAGAGGUUAUUAAAUUUUUAAAGUUUAAUUAAUAUUUUUUACCUUUUGUAUCAGGGUUAAUUAAAUGUAUUAAUUAUUUUUUUUCCCGAAAUUAAAGUAUUUAAUAUAAUUUAAAUUUAUUUGUUACAAAAAAUUUUUUUAUAUUUUAUUUAUAAUUAAAAGUUAUUUGACUUUAAUUUAUAUCUGGUUACUUUAGAAUAAAUUUAAUUUUGAAUUAUUUAAUUUUUUAUUUUUAAAUAAUAAUUUUAUUUUAUUAGGGAUAAUCUUAAUAUUUAAGUAUAAUGAUUAUUAUUUUAUUUGUAUUAAUUUUUAAAUUUUAUAUAAAGUUUAUAAUAAAUUAAUUUAAAUUUAUUAGAUUUAAUUUUAUUUAUUUUUUUAUAAAGUGAAUUUAAUUAUUUUUUUUUAUUUUUUAUAAUGAUUAAAUUAGUAUAGUACAAAUAUAUAUAAAUUGAAUUCGACAAUUGUUUAUUUCCAACUGUUUAUCAAAAACAUUUCCUUUAGAUGAUAUUUAAAGGUAAUUUCUGCCCUAUGAGUAUUUAAAUGGCUGCAGUAUUCUGACUGUACAAAGGUAGCAUAGUAAUUAGCUUCUUAAUUAGGGGCUUGUAUGAAUGAAUUAAUGAGAAAUUAAUUAUAAUUAUUUAUAAUUCUUAAAUUUAAUUUUUUAGUUAAAAAGCUGAAUUAAUAAUAUGGGACGAAAAGACCCUACAGAACUUAAAUUAAAUUUUUAAAUAUAAUUUUAAUUUAAAUAAAUUUUAAUUUUUUAUUUUUUAUUGGGGUGAUAAAUAAAUUUAAACUUUAUUUUUAAAAUUCUUAUUAAUAGAUUAUUUUUGAAUCAAUAAAUUUGAUGGAAGAAAAAGUUACCUUAGGGAUAACAGCGUAAUUUGGGUGGAGAGUUCUUAUUUAUAUUCAAGUUUGCGACCUCGAUGUUGAAUUAAGAUAAAUUUUUGGAGCAGUAUUUUUUUGGUUAAGUCUGUUCGACUUUUAAAUUCUUACAUGAUUUGAGUUCAAACCGGUGUAAGCCAGGUUGGUUUCUAUCUUUAUUAAUUAAAUUUACUUUAGUACGAAAGGACCAAGUAUUUUAUUAUUAUUUAAUAUAUAUAAAAAAUAAAUUUAAUUUA
Molecule: ribosomal RNA, 1188 nt
Filed under: Empoascanara defecta
Lineage: Eukaryota; Metazoa; Arthropoda; Insecta; Hemiptera; Cicadellidae
Description: 16S ribosomal RNA
Source: RNAcentral